GAUGAACGCUGGCGGCGUGCUUAACACAUGCAAGUCGAACGAUUAAAGCUCACUUCGGUGAGUGUAUAGAGUGGCGAACGGGUGAGUAACACGUGGGCAACCUGCCCCUCACACUGGGAUAACCAUUGGAAACGAUGGCUAAUACCGGAUACUCCAUCGAGAUCACAUGGUCAUGAUGGGAAAGCUCCGGCGGUGAGGGAUGGGCCCGCGGCCCAUUAGCUUGUUGGUGAGGUAACGGCUCACCAAGGCAACGAUGGGUAGCCGAGCUGAGAGGCUGAUCGGCCACACUGGGACUGAGACACGGCCCAGACUCCUACGGGUGGCUG
RNAcentral lists this ribosomal RNA (326 nucleotides) under uncultured Actinomycetes bacterium. RNAcentral's name for it is "bacterial SSU rRNA". It matches the Rfam family "Bacterial small subunit ribosomal RNA", at positions 28 to 351 of the family's 1533-position model. The record is from RNAcentral. Lineage: Bacteria; Bacillati; Actinomycetota; Actinomycetes.